CCUACGGGAGGCAGCAGUGAGGAAUAUUGGUCAAUGGGCUUACGCCUGAACCAGCCAAGUCGCGUGAGGGACGACUGCCCCAUGGGUUGUAAACCUCUUUUGUCAGGGAGCAAUUGGCGCUACGUGUACCGUUACCGAGAGUACCUGAAGAAAAAGCAUCGGCUAACUCCGUGCCAGCAGCCGCGGUAAUACGGAGGAUGCGAGCGUUAGCCGGAUUUAUGGGGUUAAAAGGUUGCGUAGGCGGAAUGCCAAGUCAGCGGUAAAAUCGCGGGGCUCAACCUCGCUGAGCCGUUGAAACUGGCGUUCUUGAGAGGGCGAGAAGUAUGCGGAAGGCGUGGUGUAGCGGUGAAAUGCAUAGAUAUCACGCAGAACUCCGAUUGCGAAGGCAGCAUACCGGCGCCCAUCUGACGCUGAAGCACGAAAGCGUGGGUAUCGAACAGGAUUAGAUACCCGUGUAGUC
This 460-nucleotide ribosomal RNA is filed under the name uncultured bacterium. RNAcentral's name for it is "partial 16S ribosomal RNA". It matches the Rfam family "Bacterial small subunit ribosomal RNA", at positions 338 to 795 of the family's 1533-position model. The record is from RNAcentral.